This 942-nucleotide long non-coding RNA is filed under the name Bos taurus (domestic cattle). Its description in RNAcentral is "long non-coding RNA NONBTAT018516". Lineage: Eukaryota; Metazoa; Chordata; Mammalia; Artiodactyla; Bovidae. The record is from RNAcentral.
CACAGACCAGUCCACAGCAAAUUGUUCCCUUCAUAGUGUAAUUAAAAUACUAUCGUUACUUAAAAGUUCCAUUUUUCUACCUUUGCUGACCAGACUUGUUCUUGGGCUUGUGAUGUAACAGGUUUUCUGGGAAAACAUAUUUCAUGGUGCAUGGUGAGAAGGAAAGCACCCUAGAAUCCAGUCUUGACUCACCCUAAUGGAGCGUUUGAAAACACCUGGGAUGCAGGGAGAGGUUUUGCAGACUGAGCUAGCAAGCCCCUGUGCGAUUCCCUGUUCUAAAAGUCUUGAAUGCCUUGUUGCCUGAUGUAAAUCAUGUUCUUAUUUCUAGAUUGUAUUUAAAAUAUAUGUGUGAGUCAUGGAAGUCUAGUAAAUAUAUUUUUUCCCUAUGUUUAUCCUUAAUUUUAAAAAGUCUUUUCAUAAGCAGAUAAAGUACCUGCUGUGUCAGGCCUUAUUAAUACCUUCCAGUCAGUCACUCGGGAGAGAAAGACAACUAAUGCUUUCUGCCACUGAGAAUCCCUGGGUUGAGUGAAAGACUGGCUAUAAAAACCUAAAUUGUCAUAAACGAUGGGAAAUGCUGUUCAUAUGUUUAGUCUGGUGAUAACCCUGGACUGAUUGUUCUAUUUCAGGACUGUAUAUCCAUCUCAUAACAAUGCCGUGGCAAGCUUCUAGUUAGAGUCUUUCCGUUAUUUCCUAUGGGAAGAACUAUGUAACUAAUAUAUUUUGUUUUUGUUGGGUGUUGGGUUUUGUUUUCUAUAAUCAAAAUACCUGCAAAGCAGCAUUAAGAAUUACUGCCCACAAGAACAUGUAUUAUUAUCUAAUAGAGAAAGAAUUUGCAAAGAUUUGGGCCAUGUAGAUAAGGAUAAUGAGAUAGAUUAUCCUGGUCAUUUCUCUAAAUAUGAUGCAUUUUUUUCAGGUUGGAUGUAGAUUAAAGUGGAAUGGAAC